CUUUUGAGAGCAAAGACGUGUUUCAGCCAUACUCAUUUGAGCACACAGAGGUCUCAGCUUGUUCUCCAGACAUAUUCUGUGUCAUGUCCUGGCCUUAACCAGGCUUUGAGGAUGUGCAGACACUUGAAGGAUUGUGAUCAGGUGUUGGGUCACUUCAGUAACACUACCCAGGGGCAAGCUGGGUGGGAAUUCCAGAGGGAUCACCUCCUGGACACACCAACUGCUGAAGGCCUGGGCAYGGAGCAGCGCUGGGCAGAGGUGUUUGCUUUCCAGAGGGCUGCCAGAUCAGCCUGGGGUCAUGGAGAAAGUGCCACACUGUGGAAGAGUCCAAGGCUUCUGGUCCUGGGCAGAAGUGAGAAAAGCCUCUGAAAGGAGUGAGAUUUGUGCCCAGGGCUAGGCUGGGAACCAAGUGAUCCUAACCCUGGCUAUGAACACGACUAUCCAUUGCUAAGGACUGAAGCAAAGCCCCUGUCUGCUACCACAGUCACCAGGGGCUUCAUCCAGAGGAGUUUUCUGGUUUUUGUCCUUCCCCUGAAGCUGCCCUUCACCCUUUGUGUUUUCAUUUUGAAACACUGUCCUUUCUCCAGGCUCCAGCUUGMAGCGAGCUGCAAACUCUUCCAAAAGCCCACACCAAAGAGUGUCCCUUUGGAGUGGAAGGGAUCAUUAAAAUGCCUUGUUUCUCUUCAAGGCCAGUGUUUAUAUUGAAAGCAGCCAUGUGUGAGUACUUAUGCAUGUCCAAAGGGAGCUCUGUUCCUGCAGGCACUUGUCCAGAUUUGGUGAGAAUACAAUCAUAAAGUGUGUGAAGAGAAGGAUGGGGAUGUGGUGCCCAUCCUGCAGCCAGGAUACUCCGAUCUCUGAUCUCAGCACCAUCAGCAGGAGGCAAUCACUGCUCCAGCAGGGUUGGUCUGUGUGUCCAUGUGAGCCUUUGCAGCAGUUGGUGUCUGUCCCUGGGCAGCAGGCUGGCUGGACAUUGGAGCUGGUGCUGUGCAGGUUUCCAGAGCCUCUGGUGUCUCUGAGUGCUGGCCAUGUCUCCUGGCUCGUGCAGCUGCAGAGAUGAGUUUUGGUGGUCUCACCGGUCCUUUCCUUUGUAUUUCUUGGCAGAUGGAAGAGGCUGAGAGCAGAGGGGCAGUCCACAAGAUGGGGUCCCUGAUGCAAGACCACAGAUCCAGYCCCACUCCUGCUCCUCCCCUGUCUUCUCCAGCAGACUCCCCUUUGAGGCCAAGCUUUCCCAUCACUUGCCCCUGUUUUUCCUGCAGCUGUGGGGCUCUGAGCCCAAUUCCAGCCCCCUGCACCACAUACCAGGUCCAAGAAAUCCCUCAGGGAAGCUGGAAAUAAAAUCCACAUGUCAAGGAGCCCACUGGUCACAAACCUGUGUGUUGCCCCUUCACAGGACCCGUCAUCACUCAGAUAACUGACUGUACCCACCCUGGGCACAUCAAUGCCAUCRACAGUAGGCACUGAGCUCCGAGCUGAUCUCUUUUGCUGUGCUCCAUGCCUGGGCUCCAGGAGGUCCAGAAUGCCUUCACCUCACUUUGCUGAAGGAAACCCUGGAGAAUUUUGAAUGGAGAAAUSCCCUUGUUUUGAUUCCUCCACCAAGAGCUGAGCUGGCUUCUGAAGGAUUGWUAGGCCAGCAGUGGCCAGAUGUGUAGAAGCAACAUUUCAGAGGGACAAAUCCCCUGCGGAUCCAGCCUUGCCCACUCUAGGAGUGUCUCCCUCUUCCACCUGCUACCAUGGCAAACSCCUGCAAGACACCAGCCCCAUCCCAAGGAUUUGCUCUUCCUUCAGCAGCAUCUGCAGCAYUACUUGCAGGGUGCUGAGGGUGGUGAAACAGGAAGCCUGCAGCAAGGGAUUUGCCACAAUCUAUAUAAUGUCUGGGAGGCGCCUGGAAAAUAUCAUCAGGGCCAUGUCUGAAUAAGCCUAAAAAACCCAGCUGGAGGAGGAGGGAGCGCCUGGCCUGGGGGAGGAGAGCAGGAGCUGUUUGGGUCCCUGUCUCCAUGGGAUCCCCKACACACACGCACUACAUGUGCUGUGACCAGGGCUGGCAAAUAUUUCCAGCUAYGUUUCCACCUGCUUCUCCUUCAGAUCCAUGGAGAUACGGGUCUGGGUCAUCCCACAGAGGGGAUUACCCUUGUUGCUGUCAGCAUGGGGCUGCUCCCCCAUAUUCCAUGGCCUAUGCCCAGCCCCCGGCUGGAUUUGAGCUUUGGGGCCGCCUGCAGAAGCUCCACAGRCUUGUUUUUCAAAAAGACUGAGUUGUGCUGAAAUAUUUCACACAGGAAAGAGCUGCAAAUAUUUCCCRUGUGAGGGAAAUAAGUGAAGUUAAAAGAGCACGCUUGUGCUGGAUGGCUUAUUAAGGGAUUGCUUUUGCAUAUGCUGUCAGCUGUAGAUUUUUGGGYGGCAAGCUCUUUCCUCUCUUCCUUCCUGAAGGGCAGAGCUGCUCCCAAGCCCUUGGAGGCAAACUGAGUCAGGCCCUUGUCUACGGAUAAGCCAUUCUGUGUAUCCAAAAGGAAAUUUUUAUUAGAGGCCUUGCAGAUGGAUGGCUGUGUGCAGGAGGCUGGGCUCCCCAUAGAUUUGAAGCCGUAUCAGUUGUGACUGGUUGGUGGCAGCAGGAUGGAGAGGAAGGCUCACUCCUUGGCACUUCUGAGGAAAAACACGUCCCCAGCUGCUCCGGACUCCACGGGUAGAAGAUGUUCUCCUCCUCCCCACCCCUCCUUCCCUGGGGGCUGCCCUCUCCUGUUCUCCUGCCGGCCUGGCCUGCCCCAGCCAAGGGAGGUGCACAGGGGACUCUUGCACAUCAUUGGUCUGAGAAGGUCUCCAUGCCCUUAAAGAGAAGGUGCAUUUUCUGCUGAGCCACCCGAGACGCCCUUUUAUACCUCCUUACUGAGCCAGCUGCCUGUGGCUCGUCUGUCCACCCUGUCCAGCCAGCACGACUCUGAUUUUCUCCUCCAGACUCGGGCUCACAACCAUCUAAACCAAGAUGUCUGAGUAAG
Malurus melanocephalus (red-backed fairy wren) is the source of this 2987-nucleotide long non-coding RNA. RefSeq lists it as uncharacterized. The record is from RefSeq and is a predicted model, not a curated record. Lineage: Eukaryota; Metazoa; Chordata; Aves; Passeriformes; Maluridae. The transcript has 2 exons.